RNAcentral lists this ribosomal RNA (406 nucleotides) under uncultured bacterium. RNAcentral describes it as "bacterial SSU rRNA". It matches the Rfam family "Bacterial small subunit ribosomal RNA", at positions 354 to 776 of the family's 1533-position model. The record is from RNAcentral.
GCAGGGAAUCUUGCGCAAUGGGCGAAAGCCUGACGCAGCGACACCGCGUGGGGGAAGAAGGCUUUCGAGUUGUAAACCCCUUUUCUCGGGGAAGAGAAGGGACGGUACCCGAGGAAUAAGGUCCGGCUAACUACGUGCCAGCAGCCGCGGUAAUACGUAGGGACCGAGCGUUGUCCGAAUUUACUGGGCGUAAAGAGCGCGUAGGCGGCCUCCUAAGUCCUGUGUGAAAUCUCCCGGCUCAACUGGGAAAGGUCAUGGGAAACUGGAAGGCUUGAGGACAGUAGAGGAAAGUGGAAUUCCCGGAGUAGUGGUGAAAUGCGUAGAUACCGGGAGGAACACCAGUGGCGAAGGCGACUUUCUGGGCUGUGCCUGACGUUGAGGCGCGAAAGCGUGGGGAGCAAACCGG